RNAcentral lists this long non-coding RNA (3420 nucleotides) under Canis lupus familiaris (dog). RNAcentral's name for it is "lncRNA (ENSCAFG00000053775.1)". The record is from RNAcentral. Lineage: Eukaryota; Metazoa; Chordata; Mammalia; Carnivora; Canidae.
GAUCACUAUUCUUUUACCUCAGUCUCACAGGAAAAUAGAGCGACUUCACAUAGCAGAAAGGCUGGGCCAGUGGAGUCCUCAGUAGCCCCUUGCUCUCAUGAGCAGCAGGCCCUCAAACCGGAUGAAUCUUUGGGGCCAGUACUGAGCCAGAAGCCUAAGGAGCUCCAAAGAACAACCUAAGCUAGUACUAAUGGUGGUCUUCUUGUAAUGUGAUUUGAACAAUCACCUCUUCUGCCUUGUGCUGUUUAUCUGGGGGGAGUGUGGUUUCUUCGCGGCCAUUGCUGUGGUUGUUUGUGUUAUCCAAGAGCCAGAGGUUUGGCCUGUGUUGGCUUUCAUAAUUGAGGAAUAAGAAACCAGAAAACAGGAGAGAAAUGUAAUUUCUGUAUACUCUCAGAAAAUGGAACCCUGGAAACAAAUUCAGGAGUAGAAUCAAUGCAACACAAAGAGAAGGUAUUGAGUUCCUCGGUAUUUGACUAGAUUUUCCCUAGAGAAAAGUCUGGGCAGGCUGAUUAUUUGGAGACACUCAUAUGUAUGUGUACUCUUGCAGGGUUCCAACAUAAUAGUAACAGCCUUUUGCAUUAUGAUAUACAAUAUAUUUCAUAAGUAGUCUGUACACUUCUGAAUAUAUUUUCAUAUUACAUUCUGUAUGUUAAAAAAAAUGUGUAUUAACCAAUUAAAGGAGCCUUGAUGAUAUAAAUCUUCCCAUCAGUUAACUGGUCCAUUUCAUCUGGGGACUUAGAAGAAGUCCCCAACAGGGACAGGAACCACAGUGCCUGGCAUACUAGGCAAUGAUAAAGCCCUAUUGAUUGAUUUGAAGGUAAACUGCUAUAAAAUGUGGUAUGAAACUCUGUAUUUGCUUACAAGUUAUGUGGAGAAAGGGUCUUCAAAGGAUCCCUCGGCCUGAAGCACAUCUACUGAGGGCUCAUUAAGUCCCUGACACUGUUUGAACGUUUCACAUCCUGGCUUCACUUUAUCUCCUUGGACACCUGUAAGGGAGCUAUUAUGAUGGCCUGAGUCUCGCACACAGGGAAACUGAGGCCUAUAGAAGUUACAUCACAGACCCAGGGCCUGCACAGCUAGCAGGUGGCAGCCUGGCACCAGAAGCCCACCCUCAGCCACCUGUCUGUGCCGUGGGACUUGGCCUGGUGCUGUCUUGGACAAUCACUGGGCAGCCCAAGCACCAGGAUCAGACCCUGCCUCCUAAGUCUCUGGGUGUCACGGGGUGUCCUCCUGUAGCUCACUAAUUACUGAGCUAAGACUGAUGAAAAAGAUUACUAUAACACCCAUAAAAAUCAUGACAUAUGAGGACAUUUUGACCCAUAAAAUAAACAGUUAUUGAAUUCAUGCCAAUGUUUGUAUAAUUCCACAGUUCUUCCACUCAUGCUUCCUCUUAGGUGUCCACAAUGAGGAUUGGAAAGAAAACACAACCGAGUUCCUGUGCUUACCCCUUUACUGAGAUAGGGUCUGAGGACAGGACUAAAAGUCCAAAUAACAAUAUAAGAACAGCAACAAAGCACUCUCACCAUAUUUCAGACAAUUUUAUAUACAGUCUCAUUGUAUCUUCACAAUCCUUAGAAGGAAGUGUUCCUAUCUUUUUUCUAUAGAUCGGAGAGAAACAGAGAGACUCACAGAGGACAGAUAAUUAUUCAAAUCACCCAGCUGGGUUCACAGCCUGGCCUCAUUAUUUACUGUCUCUGGGACCUUGAGGAAAACUGUCAUUCUGCCCUAUAUAUCGAACUGCCUCUCGCGGUGCUACUACUACCUAGCACACCCAGGCUGAUAACGAGGGAAACCGAGAUGUGGGUAGGAUGCCUUCAAUACCUCCUGUUAGUCCAAACCUGGCUCUUUUCCCUUCUUUCAAUGCCCCCAUUUCUCCCAGGUUCUCAGGGGUCUCCUCCUAUCCGGGUUCUCCUUAGAAGGCAGGAAAAUGCUACUGCCCUCCCCGGAUAACUCACCUCAUAAAAUGGGUCACAUAGGGCCUAGGCAUGAUGCUGGAUGCAGGUGGACAAACAUGAAUAGGAAGCUGGCCCUUGCAAAGAAUACACAGUCCCGCUGGGGAAAGCAGCAGGGAUGUUAUUAUCGUAGGAUGAGGGAUAGGUAGGACAAGAAAUCCCAUACAUGCUAGUCAAUGUCCCCAUUCACACACACCUCCUACACCAGCCCUAAGCAACCACUGCUCUACCUUCUGUAUCCAUAGACUGGCCUAUUCUGGACACUUACAUAGAUAGAAUCAUAUAAUAUGUGGUCUUUUGUGUGGCAUCUUUCACUUAACAUAAUGUUUUCAAGGUUCACCUGUGUCGUAGCAUGUAUCAGCACUUCACGCCGUCUUAUUGCUGAAUAACAUUCCAUUGUAUGGAUAUAUAACAUUUUGUUUUUCCCAUCAUCAGCUGACCAACAGUUGAGUAGGUUUCCACCUUUUGGCUAUUAUGAACAUUCAUGUACAGGUUUUUGGGUGGACACAGGUUUUAAAUUCUGAAAAUAUGCCUAGGAGUAGAAUUUUGGGGGUAUCUGACAAUUCUAUGUUUAACCUUUUGAAGAAAUACAUGUUCAUUUCCAAAGCAGUUGUGCCAUUUCCCAUCCUCCUCCCCACCCCCCCCCCACCCUCAGCAAUGUAUGGGGAGUUCUAAUCUCUCCAUAUCCUCACCAAUGCUUGUUAUUGCCUGUCUUUUUUAUUCUAGACUUUCUGGUAGGUCUCAAGUGCUAUCUAUCUCAUUGUUUUGAUUUGCAUUUACAAAUGAGUGAUGAAGUUUAAUUUUAGACACUUUGAAUGUAAGACAUCUAGAAAACUUCCGGGAAUGCAGCUUUAAGUUUGGUAGAAAGUCUAAAUUGAGGAGAGAUGUUGUAUUUACUCUUGGAAGUCAUCAGUGCAAUAAUGUAAAAGAAAGCAUUUUUAUUUGUGGGAUUCAGGCACUGUAGUAUUAGGUGGAAACUAUCUGGGAUAUGGGAUUUUCCCAAGACUUACAAAUGGUACCACAAUGGGUAACUACUUACUCUACUCACACCCAAGACUAGUCUUGGCUAAACAAACUAGGCUUUUCCUGUUUUGUGUUAGGUUUAGAGGCUUUCUGAUGGUGGGGGCAGGCUGCAUGCCUAGGGGUUAAAAGCUCAGCUUAUGGGAUCUAAAUCCAGACUUACACAUCACAUAGCUGCAUGACUGAGAGACAUUUUACUUCACCUCCCUAAGACUGUUUCCUUUGCUGUAACUGAGGAAUACACAUCUGUACCUACAUCCUAAGGCCACUGUGAGGAAUAAAAAAAAAAAAAAAAAUGGAACAGUGGCAUGGAGCACCUGGGGGGCUCAGCUAGUUAAGUGUCUGCCUUUAGCUCGGGUCAUGAUACCAGGGUCCUGGGAUUGAGCCCCGUAUUGGACUCCCUGCUCAGCGCAGAGCCUGUUUUUCCUCUACACUUCUCCCCUGCUUG